This 440-nucleotide ribosomal RNA is filed under the name uncultured bacterium. RNAcentral describes it as "partial 16S ribosomal RNA". It matches the Rfam family "Bacterial small subunit ribosomal RNA", at positions 338 to 795 of the family's 1533-position model. The record is from RNAcentral.
CCUACGGGAGGCAGCAGUGGGGAAUAUUGCUCAAUGGGGGAAACUCUGAUGCAGCGACGCAGCGUGAGUGAUGAAGUAAUUCUUUACGUAAAGCUUCAUUUGUAGGGAAGAAAAUGACUGUACCUGAGUAAGUAGCUCCGUCUAACUACGUUCCAGCUGCCCUGGUAAUACGGAGGCGGCAAGCGUUAUCCGGAUUUACUGGGUGUAAGGGGAGCGUAGACGGUGUGCCAAGUCUGGAGUGAAAUGCCGCAGCUUAACUGCGAAACUGCAUUGGAAACUGGCGAACUAGAGUACGGGAGGGGUAAGCGGAAUUCCUGGUGUAGCGGUGAAAUGCGUAGAUAUCAGGAAGAACUCCGGUGGCGAAGGCAGCUUACUGGACCGUAACUGACAUUGAGGCUCGAAAGCGUGGGGAGCAAACAGGAUUAGAUACCCGAGUAGUC